This 425-nucleotide ribosomal RNA is filed under the name Rhizopus arrhizus. RNAcentral's name for it is "eukaryotic LSU rRNA". It matches the Rfam family "Eukaryotic large subunit ribosomal RNA", at positions 234 to 619 of the family's 3401-position model. Lineage: Eukaryota; Fungi; Mucoromycota; Mucoromycetes; Mucorales; Rhizopodaceae. The record is from RNAcentral.
CAUUUGCCUUUUGUGAUACGCUUUCAAAGAGUCAGGUUGUUUGGGAAUGCAGCCUAAAUUGGGUGGUAAAUCUCACCUAAAGCUAAAUAUUGGCGAGAAACCGAUAGCGAACAAGUACCGUGAGGGAAAGAUGAAAAGAACUUUGAAAAGAGAGUUAAACAGUAUGUGAAAUUGUUAAAAGGGAACCGUUUGGAGCCAGACUGGCUUGUCUGUAAUCAAUCUAGGCUUCGGCCUGGAUGCACUUGCAGGCUAUGCCUGCCAACGACAAUUUGACUUGAGGGAAAAAACUAGGGGAAAUGUGGCCCACUUGUGGGUGUUAUAGUCCCUUAGAAAAUACCUUGGGUUGGAUUGAGGAACGCAGCGAAUGCUUAUUGGCGAGUUUUCCAGGAAGGUUUUCUGAGGUACUACGGUAUCAAGGUUGAUCU